GACGAACGCUGGCGGCGUGCUUAACACAUGCAAGUCGAACGGAAAGGCCCUGCUUGCAGGGUACUCGAGUGGCGAACGGGUGAGUAACACGUGGGUGAUCUGCCCUGCACUUCGGGAUAAGCCUGGGGAACUGGGUCUAAUACCGGAUAGGAGCCAUUUUUAGUGUGAUGGUUGGAAAGUUUUUUCGGUGUAGGAUGAGCUCGCGGCCUAUCAGCUUGUUGGUGGGGUAAUGGCCUACCAAGGCGGCGACGGGUAGCCGGCCUGAGAGGGUGGACGGCCACAUUGGGACUAGGAGACGGCCCAGACUCCUACGGGAGGCAGCAGUGGGGAAUAUUGCACAAUGGGCGCAAGCCUGAUGCAGCGACGCCGCGUGGGGGAGGACGGGCUUCGGGUUGUAAACUCGUUUCGCUAGGGACGAAGCUUUUUGUGACGGUACCUAGAUAAGAAGCACCGGCUAACUACGUG
This 465-nucleotide ribosomal RNA is filed under the name uncultured bacterium. RNAcentral's name for it is "partial 16S ribosomal RNA". It matches the Rfam family "Bacterial small subunit ribosomal RNA", at positions 28 to 507 of the family's 1533-position model. The record is from RNAcentral.